Arachis duranensis is the source of this 390-nucleotide long non-coding RNA. RefSeq lists it as uncharacterized. The record is from RefSeq and is a predicted model, not a curated record. The transcript is spliced from 2 exons. Lineage: Eukaryota; Viridiplantae; Streptophyta; Magnoliopsida; Fabales; Fabaceae.
AUCAAUCAAACUAGUUAACUCUAAAGAGUUUUGGGAGGGAACUAAUUUGCUGCGUCCUGAGACACAAAAUUAGGAAACCUUCUAGAAGACCAACUAAAAAGAGGAGUAUUGAUGUGGUGGCUGAGUCUCGGAUAAAAAGAACAAGGUCACAAAAUCAAGAAAGCCUUAUAGGUGAUAUACAGUAAAUGUGAACAGAAGAGCCACUAUCAUAGGACAUGUAAAGGAACACCAACAAAUUCAAAUUGACAAAAAAAAAAGAAGCCAAAGCAAUAACCAAGUGAAAAUCAAUCAGAACGAACCCCUGCAAAUCAGAACUCAGAACAGAAUUCGGAUGGAGUUCAAUCAAAUGGAAGCAACAAUCUGGCUGGGGAACCUCUGGACCCACUGGUA